Molecule: unclassified non-coding RNA, 216 nt
Filed under: Bombus terrestris (buff-tailed bumblebee)
Lineage: Eukaryota; Metazoa; Arthropoda; Insecta; Hymenoptera; Apidae
Description: misc RNA ENSBTSG00005020341.1
Source: RNAcentral
AAUAAUUGAAUCAGUUUUUACCUUAAAAUAUACGUAUAUAGUUUAUUAUUGACAUCUGAAGCAUGUAUGUUAGUAUCGAUACAAAAAGGAUUGUCGCAUGUUUGAUAAUAAAUAAAAAGGUCAUGCCGUCAGUACCGCAAACAGGAUCGUAGUAGGGUGGACAGAUCUUUUGGCAGCCACGGAAUAAGAAUCCUUGCACGCACCUCUUCAUGGGCA